Molecule: small RNA, 758 nt
Filed under: Pan troglodytes (chimpanzee)
Lineage: Eukaryota; Metazoa; Chordata; Mammalia; Primates; Hominidae
Description: processed transcript
Source: RNAcentral
UGAAUUGUCUAGAGAGACUUGGUGGAGGAGGCCACGGCCCGCCUUGUCCCUGCCGGGUCCCAGCCAGGUGUGUGUGCCCCAGCUGGACUCUCGGUGGUCUCCACAGGCUGCAGCAGAAGGAAUACCUUGGAAUUGGAUGCCGGCUGGCCCCCCUGACAGUUCCUGGCCUAGGGGCUGUCAUGGCAGAGGGAAGCCACCAAGGGCCCUGUGCUAAUCACGAGUCUUUCCUGUUCAGAGCAGUGAGGCCUGAGACCCUCAACAGUGCUGUGUGUACAGAAGGCCCCCAGAAUCCACACAAAGGGGCCGCCUGAAACCUAGAGCAUUUGUGAAGGAGGAAAAUGGAAGGAACAACUGGAUGUUGUAAAUGUUUCUCAUCUGGCCUUAAAAUCCAUGAAAGCUGGAAAAUCACAAGGCAUCUGUGCACAUACUGGUGGAUUUUAAUGAGAGUCCUGUGUUUGGAGCACCAGAAAUAAACCAGCUUCAGAAGCAAAGGAGGAGGAAGCAGAGCUAGAGAUGGAAGGAGACCCAGCCAGCCCGGGCUCCAGUGACAUCGGCUGGUACACGCUUUUGUUUGCUUACGCUUGUUGAACUGAGUUUUUCAUAUGUAACUAACGAAUAGUGGCACAUGUGAGACUGGGCAUGAUUCAGAAAAGUUGGAAGAUCUAGAGAGGGAUCUUGCAAUCUGAAGUUUCUUGUUUAGUCACUGGAGGAUCUGAACGUCUAUGACACUCUUUCGAGCUGACACAGUGAAGAACAUG